Molecule: long non-coding RNA, 370 nt
Filed under: Nicotiana benthamiana
Lineage: Eukaryota; Viridiplantae; Streptophyta; Magnoliopsida; Solanales; Solanaceae
Description: long non-coding RNA (NBEN_LNC026408)
Source: RNAcentral
UCCCGUUAUCAGAACCAACUCCUACUCCGUGAAAUGAUUCGCCCGAUACUAAUGCUUGGAGCAGCUUUGGAGGUGAAGGCAUUGUUACCUCCACUACUCCUUCCAACAUUUUCACCACCAUUCCCAUGGAAGGCCUCAUUGAUUCAUCAUCCUGAAUGCACCAAAUCGCUACCAAUCCCACACGUUCUGCCUCCAUGACAUCGUACAUUCCACAUAGCCUUUCAUCGAUGACAGCUGCAAUCUGACCACCAUUCCCAUGGAAGGCCUCAUUGAUUCAUCAUCCUGAAUGCACCAAACCGCUACCAAUCCUAGACGUUCUGCCUCUGUCUCAUCGUACACUCCACGUAGCCUUUCAUCGAUGACAGCUGCA